UACGAGAGGCCCAAACGUUAUUCGGAAUUACUGGGCUUAAAGAGUUCGUAGGCGGCGCAGAAAGUAGGGUGUGAAAGCCCUCGGCUCAACCGAGGAAUUGCGCUCUAAACUACUGUGCUUGAGGAAGCUAGAGGUGAGCAGAACAGAUGGUGGAGCGGUGAAAUGCGUUGAUAUCAUCUGGAAUACCGGAGGCGAAGGCGGCUCACUGGGGCUUUUCUGACGCUGAGGAACGAAGGCCAGGGUAGCGAACGGG
This 253-nucleotide ribosomal RNA is filed under the name uncultured bacterium. RNAcentral describes it as "partial 16S ribosomal RNA". It matches the Rfam family "Bacterial small subunit ribosomal RNA", at positions 524 to 776 of the family's 1533-position model. The record is from RNAcentral.